RNAcentral lists this ribosomal RNA (256 nucleotides) under uncultured bacterium. RNAcentral describes it as "partial 16S ribosomal RNA". It matches the Rfam family "Bacterial small subunit ribosomal RNA", at positions 524 to 776 of the family's 1533-position model. The record is from RNAcentral.
UACGUAGGGUCCGAGCGUUAAUCGGAAUUACUGGGCGUAAAGCGUGCGCAGGCGGUUUUUGUAAGCCAGAUGUGAAAGCCCCCGGGGCUCAACCUGGGAACUGCAUUUGGGACUGCAAGGCUGGAGUACGGCAGAGGGAGGUGGAAUUCCACGUGUAGCAGUGAAAUGCGUAGAGAUGUGGAGGAACACCGAUGGCGAAGGCAGCCUCCUGGGCUAGUACUGACGCUCAUGCACGAAAGCGUGGGGAGCAAACAGG